RNAcentral lists this long non-coding RNA (611 nucleotides) under Bos indicus x Bos taurus (hybrid cattle). Its description in RNAcentral is "lncRNA (ENSBIXG00000019124.1)". The record is from RNAcentral. Lineage: Eukaryota; Metazoa; Chordata; Mammalia; Artiodactyla; Bovidae.
CACCCCUUGCACUGGGGGGCAAAAUCUUAAUCAGAGAAGUCCUGAUUCUCCAAUGCUUGAAGCAGGAGUAGAGCACUGUGAGUUUUAGAAUUCAUUCAGCUCAGGAAAAAAAAAAAGGUUUCUAAAGCUAAGAAGUCUCUUCGCUGUAAUAUUUAGACUUUUGGCACUUAUUCAGCCCUUUCUUACAUGCACACACUGGAAAACAGGAAGCUGGAGAAAGCCUUGGAGAAGGUUGUAGAAAAAGCCGUAUAUUACAGGAAGCUCUUUUCUCUGUGCCCAGAGGAGACGCAGAAGGCACCAUGUGAACACGGUGGAUUCUUUACUGCUGAGCCACCGGGGAAGAUCCCAGACAGAGAUGCAGCCUUCCUCAAAAGUAUCCUCAGGUUUUCAUUGGUUCAACAUAAGUGGCUGCUCCAGACUUUGAACAUCUUCAGUGAAACCUUGUGAGAAGGUUUAACCUUUCUCUGGUCAAGUAUCAAAACUCCAAGUGAAUUGGAACACUUAGAACAUAACUAUUCUGACAGGAGGCACUAUUUUCAAGGUAUGAAAAUGAGUUUUGCAUGUAGUUUUGCAUUAUUGUUCCAGGACAUAUUAGAUUCAUAACACUGGAC